AACGCACCUUGCGCCCCUUGGUAUUCCGAGGGGCACACCCGUUUGAGUGUCGUGAAAAUCUCAACCUUCUCGGUUUCUUCUUGACACCGAAGAAGGCUUGGACUUUGGAGGUCUUUGCUGGCGUCUCUCUCUUUUGAAGGCCAGCUCCUCUUAAAUGAAUUAGCGGGGUCCUCUUUGCUGAUCCUCGACAUGUGAUAAGAUGUUUCCAUGUCUUGGUUUCUGGCUCUGUUGCCUUUGGGACCCGCUUCUAAUCGUCUCGACGACAACGCUUGGGCGUGUCUCCCUUCUCGGGAAACACCCUCAACCUCACGAACCCUUGACCUCAAAUCGGGUGAGACUACCCGCUGAACUUAA
RNAcentral lists this unclassified non-coding RNA (354 nucleotides) under uncultured Lactarius. RNAcentral's name for it is "sequence contains ITS2". Lineage: Eukaryota; Fungi; Basidiomycota; Agaricomycetes; Russulales; Russulaceae. The record is from RNAcentral.